This 1915-nucleotide long non-coding RNA is filed under the name Malus domestica (apple). RNAcentral describes it as "long non-coding RNA (MDOM_LNC020771)". The record is from RNAcentral. Lineage: Eukaryota; Viridiplantae; Streptophyta; Magnoliopsida; Rosales; Rosaceae.
GAGAAACCUAUUCUUCCAUCCAAAUCCAUGGAUCUAAGAAGCAUGGAAUGAAGGCCCUAUCUCUUGGGCGAUUAUCCUUUGCUUAUGCAAAGAGGAAUCAACAAAGGUAUAAAUUUCUCAACUCACUUUGUUUUGAGUUAAGUAUUGGUUCACCUAACUACUAGGCUUUGAAUUUAAUGGGUAAUGUUUUGUUUUGAGUGCAUGCAAGCAUGAUUCCGUCUUUAAUUGUUAAUUGCAUGCUAUGGAUGUUGCUCAAAUGAACAUGUUUUUCACAAAAUUUCCUUCAAGUGGUAUCAGAGCCUAGGUCUAGUAGUUGGUGAAUCCUUUUGGGUUUUGUAUUUUCAUAGUUUAUGAUUUGAAUGUUGUAAUUGUUACAAACUUUAUUCUUGCUUCUUUGAAUGUAAAUUUUGCUAGAAAAUUUGCCAUCUCAAAUGUUGUAGAUGUAGUUCAUAUGAGCAUGAAUUUUGGAGCUAAAAUUUGGUGCCAUGUUUUUGGGGAUUUUCUGCCAAAUCCGAAGGGUGGAUUUUUGGGUUCCUGUUUGACUUGUUAAAAGUGUUUUAAGGUGACUUUUGGAACCCCUAAGUACCCUAGGAUGUUAACCCCAUUUGAGAAGUGAAAAUUUGAGUUUUAUUGAGUGAAAAUGUUCAUGGAACUCUUAUGGGUUUUCAUGGAUAUUCUUCAUUGUUCUUGAGGUUCUUACCAAGAACAAAAAGUUUGAUGUUUUGAUUCAAAGUGUUGGUUAAUUUCAUAAAGUCUUUGUUUUGUGUUGGUUGGUGUGACUUAUCUAUCAACAAAAACAUUUAUUGAAAUUUUGAAAGGUGAUAGAAAUGGUGAUGGGUGUGUAAGAAGUACUUCUCUACACACACACCACUUGCAUGGCUUUAUUCACACCAACCUAUUUCCACUUGCAUGGCUUUAUGACUUUGUUGAAAUAUUUUCAAAAAUUUUGAUGGUUUCACUCUCCAAAACCGGCCACCCUACAAGUGGGGUGUUUUUGGGGCUUUUAUGCAAUUACAUAAAGUUUUGAUACUUUUGUGUAUUUUGUAGUUUGACCCAAAAGUUUAUGUAUUUACGUAAAGGCCCAAAAUCAUUAAUGGACAAAUUGUUUUGUUCCUUUAAUGAAGUUUUUAAAUUUGUUGAAAUUUUUGGGUUCUAGUUGUAAUUACAUGAAGUAGUGGACUUUUGUGUUUUUACAAAAUGAGCUCAAAAGUUUAAGUUUUGCAACAUAGCCCAAAAAGUUAAGGUUAUUGCAUUUUGGCCCAAAUUAGAUUGAGAACAAAAUGGUUUUGUCUCUUUAAAUGAGAAUUGGAUUUUCAUUUCAUUUAGCUCCAUUUAAAUCAAUUAUAUGGAUACAAAAACCAAAUGACAUGUUGCAUUCAAAGUUUAAUUAGUUAAAGCGUUAAUUAAUUAAAGGGUGAUUAUGAACCUAAGCCUACGAUAAUAGGAAAACUAAUGAAAAGGGCUUGAAAACUUUGAGUUUUAAUGAUAAGGACAAAAUAAAGGGUAAAGUGAAUAGUACCAGGAUUGACUUUUUAGUGUAAAAAUGUGGUUUUUCGUUAAAAUGAACAGUACCGGGUGCUUUUCGUUAAAGUUCCCUACGAUAAUUGAGCUAUGUGAAAGGCCGUUUCAAAUUUGUUUGAACCAUGGGAAUGUGUAGAUUAGAUUUUGGUUGUAAUUUGAUUUGAUCAAAUGUUGUAAAAGAGCAUAAGCUCUUCUUUACUUUAAAGUAAUUUGUACUAUUCAAAUGUUGUAAAGAGCAUAAGCUCAUCUUUACUUUGAAGUACUCCUUUCUUGUUUUAUUUGAUAUGCAUGAAAAUGGAGUAGCGGGUCCAACGCCCAAUAAGACAACACGCCUUAAUGUGAUUAAACGCGUAACUAAAAUCAAUCACCAUCCCUAGACCGAGAUUCAACACUA